UGGUAAUGUGUGUCAUUGGAAUUUCCACCUUGGGCUCCCAAACUCCUUGCACCAGCAUUAGAGUGAAAACCUCCAGCUUAACCCGUAACAGAUGGGCAGGAGAUAUUGAAGGAUGCAGUUCCUUUUACUCAUUGACAGCCCAGCUAAGGAGGAAGAAAGGUUGCUAGGGGGUGCAGAUCUCACAGAGUCUAUAAAUGCUCCAGGACUCUGCCAAAGAGAAUCUUGGCAGGAAUGUGAGGGAUGAGUUUCACUUCAUGGCCUAUAAAGCCCUUUGGGAUCCUCUGGGGUGAGAACUGCUGGAAUGCACAGGAUUCAAGUUAUCACCCAGCCUGUAAAUCUUUGGGAUCCCAAGGGAAAUGGGGUGCUAUAUAGCUUGGGAGGUUAGUCCAUAAACCCUUUUAAGUAUCUGGCUGGGAGUGGAAGUGCCUUGCUGUGUGAGGUUUACUUUAAAUUUUCACAGCUUGUGAGGCCCUGAAGGAUCUUGCAAAAGGGCACUUGACUUCCCAGACAGACAGUGUGUGUCUCAUGGGGAAAUUUAAGGCUAAGCUUUCCAGUUAAUAUUUUCAUGCUGGUCAUUAUUUGCCUGCAUAUUAGCAGCUCAGUUUGUUAUUUCUCCAUGGUAUAGGCAGUGAAUCUCUACCUGUCCCAGACUUUCCAGUUGCUGAUAUAUGUGGAAUACUUCGCAGACUCAUAAAACAUGAAAGCACAAAACUGAGUUUAUUGGAAACUGUCAUUAGUAUUUAUUUUGUUAUUAUUGAUUAUAAUAAUUUAUUAACCCGUUAGAAAGAUGUAUAAACUGCUGAAAUCACAAACAAAAACGAGUAAGAUAGUUCUAAGAAACAGAAGGAAACAUUCAAUAUUGCUCACAAGUGAACUCGUUUUGAAAAAGCCUUUUAACAACAAAAGGUGUUAGCAUCUCACCAAAUGUAUAUGACGCUGUCAUCUAAACAUACUGUAAAAACAUAUAAAGCAGUUAUAACCAGACGUCAAGUAACCAUUGUGGAAGGAUGUAUUCUUAAUUGCCUGCAUAGGCUGGGUGGAAUAAAAAAGUUUCCAGCAGCUAUUUAAAAGUUGGCACAGAGGGUGUCCACUGAAUCUCUCAUUGACAAAGCACUCCACAGGACUGAGCUGAUGUUUCUUGUUGUCAAAGGAGCCUCACCAACUUGUAGAAUAACCGACACUCCUGCAGAUGACCUUAAUGAUCGAGCGGGGAUAUAAGGGUUCUUAGCAUCCUAUGUUUGGAGACCAGGGCUGGCCCACCCAUGAGGCAAGCUGAGGCAGCCACCUCAGGUGGCAGGAUCCACAGGGCUGCAGAUCCAGCCUCCACAGAAUGCAUCAUGCCCCACCAUUGUGUUCCUACGGUGGCCGAUCAGAUUCUUACGGGAAGCUACAAGCACUAGUACUCAAAAGCUUCUGAUACUGCAGAUGGCAUAUAGCUAGUCUGAAUAGCCACAGAUAGUCUUGUCCUCCCUGAAUUUGUCUAAUACUGGUUUAAAGCCGUAUAAAUUGGUGGCUAUUACCCUUAUGACUUAGUAGAUUUAAUCAUCUCUGGUGCUACCACUACCCCAUCCUCAUCUGCUCUGUGGGUAGGGAGCUCAAGGAACUUGCAAUGUACACAUCUGUCUUAUCCCCGCACUGAAGGGUGUCUCUCACAGUAUCCUCUCCAGUAGGGCUAAUUUUGUCUGACGUGUGAGUUUGUAGGAUGCUAUGUGGUUUUUGAACCUACCAGUGAAAUGCACAAAUCCGUCAAGGUCUGCAAAGUGAGAGCACGAAAGGAGAGAGUACACCCCACCAAGAUACCUGAUACUGCAAACUCCAGAGUAAACUUAGCAUGGCCUUUUGGAAAGUACUCCAUGUGGUGAGGCACAUAGUAAAUUACUGCUUCAAAUGCCAACAAAUACUUAGGGAUUAUCAGAACUUAUUAAACAAGACUUCCAAACUGAUUGGGCAAGAAAGCUUCCAGCCUUAAUUAUCUCCUGGCAAACCUAAGCAAUGGCCGACACAGCCCCCCCUUAUAUUCCACUGGGAACAGAGAUGAUUUAUUGUAAUCAUUCUUCCAACGUGGAAAUAGCUACAUGUGAAUGAGAAUUUCACAAAGUCAUUGAGAACGCUGCAAGGUAUUGAGGGAUACUAGAAUUUGUCAUCACUGGGACAGACACAACAGUCAUUCAUAACAAGCUCUCCAACAAUGCCUAAUGAGAAAGUACAGCUUCUGUGCAGUUGUGUAUGUGUGUCAAGCUUACCUGUCAACUGAAGGCAUUCUAAGGCCACCGUAGCCAUGAAGUUAAUUGUGCAGGUGCAGUUAACAUGCACAUUUCUUGUCUUGUAAAUUGCAGCUUAGGGGGAGCCUAAACAGUCUCAGGACAGGGGUGGUGUGUAAAUAGAGGCUUUGCUGAAGUGGUUUUUGUUGGGAUCAUACCAGGGGGAGAGAGGCUGCAUACACACCUAUCCAUUUGCGGCAUAAAAAUUUAGUUUUUCUCAAUAUGGAAUAGUUUGUUCUCAUCCUUAGCAUGCUAAUUUCAAUCUGUAUCGAUUCUGGAUCCUGCUAUCCAAAAGGAUGUAUACGGCUACUUGAUAUGUAUUUCAAAAUCCUUCCCGAUUAGGGUAUCCAUGUCUUUUCCUCCUGCAAAUGCCCCAGGUGAGUGAAGAAGGAAGUGGCGAUUGUGAUCUUGGUGCAUGUGAACUUCUAUUUUGUAAACUGCUUUUGAGGUUUAUUUCUACAAUCAAGCGGUAUGUAAAUUUUAUGAAAUUAAAUAAACAUGUCACUUCACAUGUGGAGUAAUGCUGAAUCGAUUUGCAAUCAGCUCUUAUUUUCAGAAUGGAACCAGCUUCUCAAGAAGUGUUUUUCAGGAGCAGAAAGUAUGCAAUAAAUCAGGACUGCACUACAUAGGAAAAACAAGUACUCAGUCUCUAAUAUUUUGGAAUAAAAUGUCACACGUAAAAAAAAUCAGAGAAACUCCUCAUUCUCCGUGAACCUGAGGCUGCUCAGGUUUCCUUUUGCCUGCAAUUUACAUAACAAAAAACAAGGAAGCAAUUAGUAUCAUGCCUAGUUUGGCCCUGAGAAACUGAAUAGCUACUAGUAUAUUUCAGCUGGAAAAAUCUGCAUUUUGGGGAGGGGUGAGAUACUGUGUAAUAAUAAUACAAGCAAACAACUGUUAUGACAUCUGAAGAGGGAAAUGGUCUAAUAAUAAUUGUCUACUAACCCCUUGUUUCCAUUACAUAAGCACACCAGUUUCCCUUUGGCAAAUGUCAGAGUGAUGUUGCUGUUGCUACAGAAAUCUCCUUUUGAAUUGUAUUCCAUGUGAGGUAGAGAAAUGCUACUCAUGGUGGCUUUAGGUAGAAGAAGAGUUUGGAUUUGAUAUUCCGCUUUAUCACUACCCAAAGGAGUCUCAAAGCUGCUAACAAUCUCCUUUCCCUUCCUCCCCCACAACAAACACUCUGUGAGGUGAGUGCGGCUGAGAGACUUCAAAGAAGUGUGACUAGCCCAAGGUCACCCAGCAGCUGCAUGUGGAGGAGCGGAGACGCAAACCUGGUUCCCCAGAUUACGAGACUACCACUCAACCACUACACCACACUGGCUCUCUGGUAGGAGGAAGAAGGGCAGCUAACAUAUUCCUCAUCAAGGUGAGACAGGGACUGGGGAAUUAAACUCUUACCUUUUGCACGCUACAUUUCAACUACACAAAAGCUUGAGGGUUCAAUACACAAACACACACCUCUAUCCUCUAUCCAGGAACAUAAGAGGCAUCAUCAGACUUUAAGGGCAUUUAUAGCCAAGCAAAAGCACUCAAGGAUGUGGAGCAGGAACAGUUAAGAGUGGGGCCUGGGGAGAGGGAGAAUAGUCUCUAGGAAGAGUCUCAAGGGCAUUCAGCCCUCAGACUUGAGGUUCCUCACCUGUGUUGUACAACCUCUGACAAGAGGGCCUCCACAACCUGCUCCAUCAGUACUGCUUUCCUUACAUCGUCAGAUAAUAAAAGUACACAGGCACCACCUCAGGUAUGAAGCUCUUCCAAAGGCAGUGUUUUGCUUCAGGAUGGUCUGACACAGCAAGGAAUCCCUUUGUGCUGUUCCUGCCAGGAGGGCCGAGGGUGCCUGUUGAGGUAUAUGGAUAUUGGCUGAUAUGAAGUUUCUUUGUUGUUAUCCUGACACCUAGUGGUGCCGCUUGCAAGAAUAGAACCCCACAUCUCAGCGGACACUUGGGAAAGAUACUUCGCCGAUCUGUAUGCAGCUCAUGAUGCCUGCGGAGAUACGGUGGAGCCGGAAGCACUGCCCGAUUGGGACCCAGUUACAUGCCCUGAAGUUGAAACUCUCAUAGAUCGAUUUAAAGCAGGCAAGGCCCCGGUGAUGACCUUAUAUCCAUUGAUGUCAUCAAAGCAAAUAAAGAUUGGUGGAUCCCACUUUUAGCAGCACUUUACACGCAUAUAAACAAAACAGCAAAAUUUCCCUCAAGCUGGAGCUCUGCGUUGAUUGUAUUAAUACAUAAGAAAGGACCUCGUACAGAGCCGAGCAACUUUAGGCCAAUCAGCUUGCUAAAUGUCAUUGGGAAGAUUUACUCGGGAUACCUGCUAAACAAACUAUCGAAAUGGAUGGAGGACGACAAUAUCAUUGCCGAUGAACAGGCGGGCUUUCGCCCUGGAAGAUCUACCACAGACCAAAUAUUAAUCUUGAAUCACCUGGCGGAAAAGUAUGCCGGCAAAGCCCCAAAGGUUCUUCAUGUGGCUUUUAUUGACCUUAAGCAGGCAUUUGAUCGAAUCUCUAGAAAGCAGCUAUGGACAAAACUGGCCGCUACAAAGAUCGAUUGCCGUCUCCUUCAUCUGAUCACCAGCCUCCAUACAAACACCUUUCUGAGAAUCAGGCUAGACAAUAAAGGCCUAGUCUCCAACCCGGUUACCACCACUAGAGGGGUAAGACAGGGUUGUCUAUUGGCCCCAGCAUUGUUUAAUUUUUACAUUAACUCACUGGUGACUCACAUGGCCAAUGAUGCUUUCCACCCCCCCAAAUUAGCAGGCCGAUCUCUGAACGUUCUUCUGUAUGCGGAUGACGCCGCACUUCUUGCCAGAUCCCCUAUUGGACUGAGGAGAAUGUUGCAAGCUCUACAUGAAUACUGUGAUCAGCAUGAGCUCCAACCUAACUAUGCUAAGACCAAGAUCAUGGUCUUCUCUGUCCGACCGAGACUCCAUCGAUGGUCGAUGAACAGGAUCCCCCUAGAGCAGGUUAACUGCUUUAAAUAUCUGGGACAAGUAAUACGGUCAAAUAGAGCCCAUAGAGACUAUAUAACAACUAACGCAUCUAAAGCAGCCAUCCAGAUUAGAUCUCUAUAUGCUAAGAACCAGGCUCAAUCAGUGAAGAUAGCUUUGAGACUCUUUCAAAUGAAAGUCCUCCCCCUUCUUUUGGUGGGCAUCUCUUUAGGCUCCCGUAGGGAUUUUUUGAAACUGGAUUCUAUCCAAACGCGAUUCCUUAGAGCCAUCCUUAGGAUUCCCCCCUCGGUAGCGGGUGCGGUUAUGAGAUUAGAGGUCGGCUAGCAAGCUCUACGGUAUGUGGCCUUGAAGACGAAGCUCUGGCUAUGGCUCAAGCUUUGUUUUAAACCAGUGGGUAUUGCCCCCUUGAUAUUGAGGGACAAUUUCCAAUCAUCGUGGGAAAGGGAGGUCAUUAAUGAGGUUCAAUCCUGCGGAUUGUCUCUCCUUUACUUCGAGUCUAUGACGUACAAUCAAGCUAGAGCUGUGAUCUCCCGGAGACUGAGUGACAUUGCCAGACAAGAGGACAUAGCCCAGGUAAAACCAGGGAUGUUCCUAGGGGACCAGAUUUAUCGGACCAUACCAGCCCCCCUACCUUGCAGAAAUCCACUAUGUGGAAUACCGUAGACUUCUUACAGCGGCUAGAUUAAAUGUCCUUGACUCUACGAUAUUGUGGGGAAGGUACAGGGGAGUACCAUACGCCCAGAGAACUUGUCAUUGUGCCAUGGGGGUGGUUGAGUCCACCAAACACAUUCUCUUGACUUGCCCUUCUUAUGCAGAGCUUAGACAAAAUUUUAUAGACCCACUCCUAUGUCAAUUCAGCCUCCUACCCGGAGAAAACCAGGUUUUACACUUGCUGAAUAACGCCACUAGAGCUAUACCUUCCUUGGUGGCCAAAUUUCUCUUCUUAGCUUUUAAGCGUCGCAAGACUAUAAUUGACUGUAUUGAUAUGGGGCUAUCUGUUUAGCCCAUUUUAGUGUUGGCUAAGUUUUAAAAUCUUCCUGGAUGUUUUUAACUGUGUAUUGACAACAUGUACUUUUUUCUGACUGACAGUUGAAUAAAAAGGAUGAUGAU
RNAcentral lists this long non-coding RNA (6308 nucleotides) under Podarcis lilfordi (Lilford's wall lizard). The record is from RNAcentral. Lineage: Eukaryota; Metazoa; Chordata; Lepidosauria; Squamata; Lacertidae.